This 615-nucleotide long non-coding RNA is filed under the name Varanus komodoensis (Komodo dragon). Its description in RNAcentral is "lncRNA (ENSVKKG00000012696.1)". Lineage: Eukaryota; Metazoa; Chordata; Lepidosauria; Squamata; Varanidae. The record is from RNAcentral.
CGGUGGGGCUGAGGCGAGGCGAGCCCGGUGCGGGCCCUCGCCUGCCUGCCCGCCCGCCUCCCCGCUGGCCGGGCCAUGGAGCUGGACGCCUCCGACGAGGCGGGCGGCGCUGAGGCCGCCGCGGGAGCUGUGCCCCCUGAGGCCGCCGCGGGAGGAUGGGCGACCCCGCUCGACCCCUCCGCCACCGGGGAAGGCAGGCAGGCAGGACUGGCUGUGAAGAAGGCUGUUCUAACCGAGUUGCACACAAGCUGCUCCAGAAACCUUUUUGGCUGAAGCACAGAAUAAAAAUACCGUGAUUGAAUGGAUGAAGCCAUCUGGCAGCUGUUACUCCCGCUGCGCCAUUGCUUUUUGCUCAGCUUGUACUUCCCAGGAUCAUAAACAGAACCUCUUUUCCACUAGCCCCACCUCCUUGGCCUCUCCCUCCUUCGCUCCAGUGCCAACCAUCCUGAUCCCGUGCGUUUCAGUUCUCUAGAAACCAAGGCUCUGGACAGAGCUUUGGAGCCUCGAAAGAAAGCCUUCUCCCACUGGCACCUAGACGAUGCUUAGGGACACCUCCUCCUGGGACAGGUGUGGGGAGACUGCCUCUCUUCGGCCAGGUUUUUGCCAGAACGUCAG